GAUGAACGCUGGCGGCGUGCCUAAUACAUGCAAGUCGAGCGAACAGACGAGGAGCUUGCUCCUCUGACGUUAGCGGCGGACGGGUGAGUAACACGUGGAUAACCUACCUAUAAGACUGGGAUAACUUCGGGAAACCGGAGCUAAUACCGGAUAAUAUAUUGAACCGCAUGGUUCAAUAGUGAAAGACGGUUUUGCUGUCACUUAUAGAUGGAUCCGCGCCGCAUUAGCUAGUUGGUAAGGUAACGGCUUACCAAGGCAACGAUGCGUAGCCGACCUGAGAGGGUGAUCGGCCACACUGGAACUGAGACACGGUCCAGACUCCUACGGGAGGCAGCAGUAGGGAAUCUUCCGCAAUGGGCGAAAGCCUGACGGAGCAACGCCGCGUGAGUAAUGAAGGUCUUCGGAUCGUAAAACUCUGUUAUUAGGGAAGAACAAAUGUGUAAGUAACUAUGCACGUCUUGACGGUACCUAAUCAGAAAGCCACGGCUAACUACGUG
This 497-nucleotide ribosomal RNA is filed under the name uncultured bacterium. RNAcentral describes it as "partial 16S ribosomal RNA". It matches the Rfam family "Bacterial small subunit ribosomal RNA", at positions 28 to 507 of the family's 1533-position model. The record is from RNAcentral.